UUUCGCAAUGCCCGAAAGGGUGACGAAGCGACGCCGCGUGAGUGAGGAAGGCCUUCGGGUUGUAAAGCUCUGUCAGGAGUUAAGAAAUAUAAGUGUGUUAAUACCACAUUUAUUUGACGAAGGCUCCAAAGGAAGCCACGGCUAACUCUGUGCCAGCAGCCGCGGUAAUACAGAGGUGGCAAGCGUUGUUCGGAAUUAUUGGGCGUAAAGAGCACGUAGGUGGGUUUGUAAGUCAGAUGUGAAAGCCUUCUGUUCGACGGAAGAAUUGCAUCUGAAACUGCGAGUCUUGAGUGUAGGAGGGGAGAAUGGAACUUCUGGUGGAGCGGUGAAAUGCGUAGAUAUCAGAAGGAACGCCGGCGGCGAAAGCGAUUCUCUGGCCUAUUACUGACACUCAGUGUGCGAAAGCUAGGGGAGCAAACGGGAUUAGAUACCCCGGUAGUCCUAGCUGUAAACGAUGGGCACUAAGUAGAGGGGUUUUA
RNAcentral lists this ribosomal RNA (479 nucleotides) under uncultured anaerobic ammonium-oxidizing bacterium. RNAcentral describes it as "bacterial SSU rRNA". It matches the Rfam family "Bacterial small subunit ribosomal RNA", at positions 364 to 833 of the family's 1533-position model. The record is from RNAcentral.